This 449-nucleotide ribosomal RNA is filed under the name uncultured bacterium. RNAcentral's name for it is "partial 16S ribosomal RNA". It matches the Rfam family "Bacterial small subunit ribosomal RNA", at positions 29 to 523 of the family's 1533-position model. The record is from RNAcentral.
AACGAACGCUGGCGGCAGGCUUAACACAUGCAAGUCGAACGCAUCCUUCGGGGUGAGUGGCAGACGGGUGAGUAACGCGUGGGAACGUGCCCUUCAGCUUGGAAUAACCCAGGGAAACUUGGGCUAAUACCGGAUACGCCCUAACGGGGAAAGAUUUAUCGCUGAAGGAUCGGCCCGCGUCUGAUUAGCUAGUUGGUGAGGUAAAGGCUCACCAAGGCGACGAUCAGUAGCUGGUCUGAGAGGAUGAUCAGCCACACUGGGACUGAGACACGGGCCAGGCUCCUACGGGAGGCAGCAGUGGGGAAUAUUGGACAAUGGGCGCAAGCCUGAUCCAGCCAUGCCGCGUGAGUGAUGAAGGCCUUAGGGUUGUAAAGCUCUUUCGGCGGGGACGAUAAUGACGGUACCCGGAGAAGAAGCCCCGGCUAACUUCGUGCCAGCCGCCGCGGUAA